UGGAGGAAAAGSUAGGGGAUCGCAAGACCUUGCGCUCUUGGAGCGGCCGAUGUCUGAUUAGCUAGUUGGUGAGGUAAAGGCUUACCAAGGCGACGAUCAGUAGCUGGUCUGAGAGGACGACCAGCCACACUGGGACUGAGACACGGCCCAGACUCCUACGGGAGGCAGCAGUGGGGAAUUUUGGACAAUGGGGGAAACCCUGAUCCAGCCAUGCCGCGUGAGUGAAGAAGGCCUUCGGGUUGUAAAGCUCUUUCAGCCGGAACGAAACGGUCACGGCUAAUACCUGUGACUACUGACGGUACCGGAAGAAGAAGCACCGGCUAACUACGUGCCAGCAGCCGCGGUAAUACGUAGGGUGCRAGCGUUAAUCGGAAUUACUGGGCGUAAAGCGUGCGCAGGCGGUUUUGUAAGUCAGAUGUGAAAUCCCCGGGCUUAACCUGGGAACUGCGUUUGAAACUACCAAAAGCUAGA
This 471-nucleotide ribosomal RNA is filed under the name uncultured beta proteobacterium. RNAcentral describes it as "bacterial SSU rRNA". It matches the Rfam family "Bacterial small subunit ribosomal RNA", at positions 196 to 645 of the family's 1533-position model. The record is from RNAcentral. Lineage: Bacteria; Pseudomonadati; Pseudomonadota; Betaproteobacteria.